GAUGAACGCUAGCGGCAGGCUUAACACAUGCAAGUCGAGGGGCAGCAUAUUUUGUAGUAAUACAAGAUGAUGGCGACCGGCGCACGGGUGCGUAACGCGUAUGCAACCUACCAUAUACAGGGGGAUAAACUUUCGAAAGGGAGCCUAAUACCCCAUAGUCAUAUUUUAAGGCAUAUUGCAAUAAUUAAAGAUUAAUUGGUAUAUGAUGGGCAUGCGUGUCAUUAGCUAGUUGGUAAGGUAACGGCUUACCAAGGCGACGAUGACUAGGGGUUCUGAGAGGAAGAUCCCCCACACUGGUACUGAGACACGGACCAGACUCCUACGGGAGGCAGCAGUGAGGAAUAUUGGUCAAUGGGCGAGAGCCUGAACCAGCCAUGCCGCGUGCAGGAAGACGGCCCUAUGGGUUGUAAACUGCUUUUAUGUGAGGAUAAACCUAUUCUUGCGAGAGUAGCUGAAGGUAUCACAUGAAUAAGGAUCGGCUAACUCCGUGCCAGCAGCCGCAGUAA
This 506-nucleotide ribosomal RNA is filed under the name uncultured bacterium. RNAcentral describes it as "partial 16S ribosomal RNA". It matches the Rfam family "Bacterial small subunit ribosomal RNA", at positions 28 to 523 of the family's 1533-position model. The record is from RNAcentral.